GUUGACUUGUGAACCGACCGGUGAACCGCGAGCAACUUUCGAGUGGAACUAACCGCUGAUUCUUCAGUGACAAACUUAGCUUGGGCUACAAAAAAAGUGACUCUGUGACUUUUUAAAAAGUUGUCAGGACGUAAAUGAUAGGAAGACAUUUUAGACGAUAAGUGGCCAGACCUGUCAAACACCUGUAUACAGGUGGAGGUUAGCAAACCGGAGCGUCCAUUACAGCUCACAGCACGAUGAGCGGCAUCAAAGUGUCAGUUGGAGAAAGAGAGUCACCAAGAGCAGAAGAGGAUAAGGCAGUCUGCUUUGGUUUCCAUCUUCUUCUAAACUGUUUAUUGCAGUCGUGUAAGAGCUCUCUCAGAUGGUUUCCUGACUGGAGGCAUGUGGAAGUUCAACUCUGAGGCUGAGUGCUGAAAAAAGGGGCAAGUAUUUAUAAAACCAAGAUGCAAUUUUUAUCCGAACAGGAUAAAAAUAUGAUGAUUUGUCUACACUACACUCAGGGCAUUGUUUGAAAACAUUAAUGAUGGACAGAAAACAUUCAUAUUUAAUUGCAAAAUUAAUUACUUUAAUCUGCUCUUGUGUGUUUUAAUAAGCCAAGUUUUGAUUUUUAUAAUUAGUCCAAC
Molecule: long non-coding RNA, 623 nt
Organism: Amphiprion ocellaris (clown anemonefish)
Lineage: Eukaryota; Metazoa; Chordata; Actinopteri; Pomacentridae
Source: Ensembl